RNAcentral lists this ribosomal RNA (251 nucleotides) under uncultured Oscillospiraceae bacterium. RNAcentral's name for it is "partial 16S ribosomal RNA". It matches the Rfam family "Bacterial small subunit ribosomal RNA", at positions 90 to 339 of the family's 1533-position model. The record is from RNAcentral. Lineage: Bacteria; Bacillati; Bacillota; Clostridia; Eubacteriales; Oscillospiraceae.
GGUUAGUGGCGGACUGGUGAGUAACACGUAAGCAACCUGCCUAUUAGAGGGGAAUAACAGCGAGAAAUCGUUGCUAAUACCGCAUAUGCUGUGAGUAUCGCAUGAUACAAGCAGGAAAGGAGCAAUCCGCUAAUAGAUGGGCUUGCGUCUGAUUAGUUAGUUGGUGGGGUAACGGCCUACCAAGACGAUGAUCAGUAGCCGGACUGAGAGGUUGAACGGCCACAUUGGGACUGAGAUACGGCCCAGACUCC